UUAGUUUUGCCUCUAGAUGUUUCUUUACUCUCAAAGUGUUGCUUUCUGUUAAUUAGCAUUUUAUGAAUCUUCAAGGACCAUGGUUUUACAUUCAAAUCUUUUUAAUGCUCUACUGAUGAAAAAAAGUCACCCGCACGUGCACCUUGAAUGGCCCUGAGGAGACAGUCCUGACACAGCCAUGUACGUGCUGCCGAUGGUCUUAAUCUUCUCGAUGUCCUGAAAUCUUUCCUCCCCCAGCAGCUGUGCAGAAUCACAGUCUUUAAAUACCACAGGUUACAUACAUAUGUGGUAUUAAACUUUCAUCAGCAGCUUCUGAGCAGGAUUCUGACCUCAUCAAAAUCAGCGAUGAUCUCGUUGAGCAGCCGCAAACACUCCACGCCCUGGUUAUUCAUCUCCGUCUGAGAGUAAAAAUCAGCAAAGCCUGGAAUGGAGGCGAACAUCACUCCCACCGUGUCAUAUGACUGCGAGUAGAGCUCCUAGAAGAUGGAGAUCACACAACAGAAACGUCAGAUGAGUCCAGUUUCAUUUCACACAACUGAGAUUUAAAUCAACAGUGAAAUGUGGCUCUAAUGAACUUCAGAACAGCAGUCAAUGCAUGAUCUUGCUGAAUACGUUGACUUUUAAAAAUCUCUCCACAAGAGGGCAGUGCUGCUUUAUAUGUAACACACUUGACUGACUCAGAAGUGUCAGGCAAAACCGAUGCACCUGAUA
This 711-nucleotide long non-coding RNA is filed under the name Danio rerio (zebrafish). RNAcentral's name for it is "si:ch211-220f13.5 (ENSDARG00000097562.3)". The record is from RNAcentral. Lineage: Eukaryota; Metazoa; Chordata; Actinopteri; Cypriniformes; Danionidae.